AGAUACCAGGAGGGAACAUCUUGGGUUCUUGAGGAGAGAAAGAGAGAGAUAAAACCCAGAAUGGUAAAAAUGCUUGGAGUACUUGUCCAAAUGGUUUGAGAAAUCUGCAAAAGAAUUUCAGAAAGGCACAGGACACAGGGCUUCUUGCAGGAGGCACAGAGGACUGUGUGCUCACAGGAGCUGAGUCCCUUCAACAGCUACUUCCACAGAAGGAUGAGAGAAUGGAGCAGCUGAGAAUCUACACUAUCAACCCAGUGCUUGUCCUUGGUCUGGGGGUGGGGAGAGAUAACAGAAAAAAAUAAAGUACCUCUCCAGCAAAA
This is a long non-coding RNA of Mastomys coucha (southern multimammate mouse), 320 nucleotides long. RefSeq lists it as uncharacterized. The transcript is spliced from 3 exons. Lineage: Eukaryota; Metazoa; Chordata; Mammalia; Rodentia; Muridae. The record is from RefSeq and is a predicted model, not a curated record.